Nelumbo nucifera (sacred lotus) is the source of this 1168-nucleotide long non-coding RNA. RefSeq lists it as uncharacterized. Lineage: Eukaryota; Viridiplantae; Streptophyta; Magnoliopsida; Proteales; Nelumbonaceae. The record is from RefSeq and is a predicted model, not a curated record.
CAUUUUAAACUUCGGAGACCAAAUUACCACUCAAUCCAAAAUACAGGAUGGGAAUUUUUCUUAAAUCUAAUUAAUCAAUCGAUUGCGAGAGAUACACUUGCACAAGCCAAAAAAACUCUUCAAACUCUUGCAUUGUUUGCUAUUUCCCACCCUCGACAAGAUUUUGACAGAGAGCCCCAAAACUAGAGUGAGAGGAGGAAUUAAUGAACUAGGAAGAGAGCCCCAAAGCCGAGGAUAAAUUCACAACCUCGUUUCAGGUGCAUCUAUUAGAGAUUUUGCUAUGACGUCUAGGAGAGCAUGCUUGCAGAGGAGAAAUAUUACCGGCUAAAUCUAUUCGAGAUCCCGUGAACGUGACGGUCAAAUCUUACCGGCCAAGUUUAUUUGCUAAGUUUGCAGAGGAUAAAUAUUGGAGAUCUCAUCAUGAGGUGCUGGCACAGCUGCUACUCCUUCUGUCAAGAAAAAGAAGGAAGAACCAAGGAAGAGAGUGACGAAGACAUAGUAUUCAUCUUGUCCGAUUAGGAGACCCUUUCAGUAUGUGUAUGCAGUUAGGCAUGGCUAGUGCACUAGAAACUCUUUGUGGGAAAGCAUACGGUGCUAAGCAAUACCAUAUGCUAGGUGUUUAUCUUCAAAGGUCAUGGAUUGUUCUAUUCAUUUGCUCAUUAUUUUUGCUUCCGGUCUUCAUUUUCACAACCCCGAUUUUGAAGCUCUUAGGCCAAGAUGAAUAUAUAGCUGAGGUGGCAGGGAUUAUAUGCUCGGUGUUCACUAAUGAGAUUGAUGCUAAGAUGGAGCAGUUUCUCGACAUAAUGAUUGUUGAGGAUGGAGGACCAACUGUGGAAGAAUGUAUGCAGAAGCUAGUUGAUAUCAGUUGGACAACCAGAACUCCUUUAUAUAUAGAGGCUUCAAUUAUCUUUUUGGAAAAUCCAAAAUGUAGGAAAGAAUGGAUCCAUUUGUAUGGAUCUUGUGACACACCCGAUGAGGAGGCAAUGAAAAGGUGGUUGUCACUUUAUGCUAGGAGGAUGAACUUAUCAUAGGAGUUAUACGUCGGUUUCUUUCAUGUUUGGAUUGAUGUUUUGGUUUCAGUCUGGUUGCCACACCCGACAUAUGCAAUAUGCUUUUUGGUUUUUUGUUUUGAUAUUUUGAAUAUGUUACAUAUGCUCUUAUUUUGUGA